This 492-nucleotide ribosomal RNA is filed under the name uncultured bacterium. RNAcentral describes it as "partial 16S ribosomal RNA". It matches the Rfam family "Bacterial small subunit ribosomal RNA", at positions 29 to 507 of the family's 1533-position model. The record is from RNAcentral.
AGUGAACGCUGGCGGUAGGCCUAACACAUGCAAGUCGAACGGCAGCACAGUAAGAGCUUGCUCUUACGGGUGGCGAGUGGCGGACGGGUGAGGAAUACAUCGGAAUCUACUUUUUCGUGGGGGAUAACGUAGGGAAACUUACGCUAAUACCGCAUACGACCUACGGGUGAAAGCAGGGGAUCUUCGGACCUUGCGCGAUUGAAUGAGCCGAUGUCGGAUUAGCUAGUUGGCGGGGUAAAGGCCCACCAAGGCGACGAUCCGUAGCUGGUCUGAGAGGAUGAUCGGCCACACUGGAACUGAGACACGGUCCAGACUCCUACGGGAGGCAGCAGUGGGGAAUAUUAGACAAUAGGCGCAAGCCUGAUCCAGCCAGACCGCGUGGGUGAAGAAGGCCUUCGGGUUGUAAAGCCCUUUUGUUGGGAAAGAAAAGCAGCAGGUUAAUACCCCGCUGUUCUGACGGUACCCAAAGAAUAAGCACCGGCUAACUUCGUG